Molecule: long non-coding RNA, 1919 nt
Organism: Astatotilapia calliptera (eastern happy)
Lineage: Eukaryota; Metazoa; Chordata; Actinopteri; Cichliformes; Cichlidae
Source: Ensembl
UGAAAAGAUUGCAAGUCCUCAGACAAACAAAUAACUCCUGGCUCUUCAUGCCUCUGCUCACUGACUUCUAAACAGGUAUCACACAUCAUCCCUGCAUUUUUGAAGCUGCUAGUUUUAGUACUUACUGUCAAAAGUAAUGGUGCCAUUAAGAUUUUAAUUUUUCUCAACAAUUAAAACAACAAAAUAAUGUUUGCGGGAUAAACUGCAGAUGUUAUGUAAUACCUUUGCGUGAUUGUAAGUAAGUACAGCUGUCGGUUGGAAAGAAUGCAAACUUCACACUUUAUACGACUUUUUAAUUGGAGGACGAGUGUAAAGACACAAAUGUACAUUAACAGUUCUCAUGCAGGAAAAAGACACAAAGACAAAACAUUUAUUGUUGUGCAACUCAUCACAGUACAAACAGAAAAAACAUUGACUGAAAAGGUUCAAAGGUUAUAGAAAAACUUUCCAGUCUAUCACAUAGCAGCACAUUAUGGCACUCUUUUAGAGAGAGAGAGAAAGAGAGAGAGCGAGCAUGAAUCACCAUUAGAUAUGUUACAACCCAACUUUAAAAAACAAAACAAAAAAAAAACCCCACAACUAAACUACGCAAUCACAGUAAUGUGGUUCUAAAUGGCCGAGUGGUAAUCGUCCAACUAUUUCACGUUAGACUGCUUGGUCUAUGACACAUGAUUGUUUACCAAACAAUAUCAACAGCCUAUUUUGCAAUAACAUUGAAAUCUGCUUCCUUACGUCAACACUGCAAUCAUCCCUUAAAGCUGAUAAAGACAUUUUUCUCCUCCCCAGUCCCUGUGGCUGCUUUUCAUAUUGCACAACAUCAGCCUUCUCAUCGUCUCUCUCCACAGUCUGUUGGCCUCCGUCCCUCCUGAAGAGAUGUCGGUCUUAGAAGUCCUCUCCUAUAAAAACCACGCCCAGCUCAACAAAAAAAAAAAACAAAUCAAAAACACAGCCCAGCUCAUGAAUCUUCUUUAGGCCAGUAGGUGACACGAGGGAUGUCACAUAUUUUGAAAUGACUCCACCGGUGCGGCUCCUUGAACAUUUCACUUCACCUAAGGAGGCAUAUCCAAAGUCCAUGAGGCAAUGUGAAAACUCUGCACACAAUAAUGUCUUAUAAUCCCUGAGGAGCGCUGAUGCGUGACUGGAAAAGACAGUGUUGGGAUGAGGUCAGGGCACACAGUCGAUCCCAGUGAUGUACUGUGGUAGUGGACGUUUGCAGCUCCUAGUCGCUGGGAUGUUCCGGGCAGGAGCGAUUCACCUCAAACCACGCGUCUAUACACCUGCAACAGUAACAAGGAGGCUUGAUUCAAACGGAGCUGGAAACAUAUUUAGUGUUUGUGAACACAACAAAUGGAACCAGCUCGAAGUAAAAAAAAAAAAACCAAAAUAUUUUUAUGUAUAUUUUAAUUUGUAUAUUUUUUAAGUUAAAAAUGGAAAAUAAAAUAUUAUCACAACAAUUAUGAAGAACUUAUUCACUUAUGCCAAUGUGCUUGUGUAUCGUUUUGUUCCUCUCACUGAUUAUUAUUUUUUAGGAUCUAUAUGGAAAAGCUGUAAUUCUUGUUCUUAGAACCAAUGAGGUUAAUGUAAAUAUUAUGCUUGUUUCAACUCCACAUUUUUAUUCUGGGACUCCUCUAGUGUAUCUUGGCAUUGCUCCCAGUCAAAACACUUGGCCUUAUCUCAGAUUGUUAUGCGGCCCCCUAGUCCAGCCUCUGCAUGGAACAGCUCAUGCUAUCCCCAGGCUUCCUUCAGGCCCCACUUCACUGAAAGUUUUCCCGAUUGGUCACCUUCUGAAAGCCUGCAGAGGGGACAGCACCCAGUCGCUGUUGGCACUGUUUAUUCCUCUCGCUGGCUUAAAGGUUCCUAAACAAAACUGUAGCACUACUAACUAAAUUCCCAUUCCUGAUUGGGAAUGGGGCUUUCUC